RNAcentral lists this ribosomal RNA (500 nucleotides) under uncultured bacterium. RNAcentral describes it as "partial 16S ribosomal RNA". It matches the Rfam family "Bacterial small subunit ribosomal RNA", at positions 30 to 523 of the family's 1533-position model. The record is from RNAcentral.
AUUGAACGCUGGCGGAAUGCUUUACACAUGCAAGUCGAACGGCAGCACGGACUUCGGUCCGGUGGCGAGUGGCGAACGGGUGAGUAAUGUAUCGGAACGUGCCCAGUCGUGGGGGAUAACGUAGCGAAAGUUACGCUAAUACCGCAUACGAUCUAAGGAUGAAAGCGGGGGAUCGAAAGACCUCGCGCGAUUGGAGCGGCCGAUAUCAGAUUAGGUAGUUGGUGGGGUAAAGGCUCACCAAGCCAACGAUCUGUAGCUGGUCUGAGAGGACGACCAGCCACACUGUAACUGAGACACAGUCCAGACUCCUACGGGAGGCAGCAGUGGGGAAUUUUGGACAAUGGACGCAAGGCUGGUCCAGCCAUUCCGCGUGCAGGAUGAAGGCCCUCGGGUUGUAAACUGCUUUUGUACGGAACGAAAAGGUCUCUCUUAAUACGGGGGGCUCAUGACGGUACCGUAAGAAUAAGCACCGGCUAACUACGUGCCAGCCGCCGCUGUAA